Molecule: long non-coding RNA, 1924 nt
Organism: Arachis duranensis
Lineage: Eukaryota; Viridiplantae; Streptophyta; Magnoliopsida; Fabales; Fabaceae
Exons: 6
Source: RefSeq, a predicted model, not a curated record
GCACGCCUUUGUUCCCCUACCAGUCCUUUCUCCAACUCUUUCCUUCAGCAAAUGCCCUAGCUCCACCAAAGAAAGCAAACCCUAGCCUUCACCAAUCUUGUCACCGUCUGUCGGAGUGAGAAACUGCUGCUGCCGCCUCCGUUGCACUCAAGAACUUCCGUCUUCGUGCUAUCGGCGUUCGCUACUUCGAUCUCACCAACCCCUGUUCGCUCUCCAUCCCCUAUUCGCUCUCACGAAUCGCCUGGUUGCCGUCGUCCGCGCGCUCAACAGCUCUCCGUCGUCCGUCGAAGGUCAAUGCUCACUGCUAGUGGCUUGUUCUUCGUGUUUUUUUUUAUUGUCUGUUCAGAAAUCAAACCCUCUUCGUGCUUGUUCUUCGAUGAGAUGUCGAGGGACUCUUAAGCUUAUAUGGAGCUUCACAUCUUAGGAUUCAUGGAGAAGACAUAUUAGAUGAAGCUCUUCGAUUCACCUUAAAUCCAUAACUCUUGUGAAGUGUUGACCUAUUGAAUAGUAUUCAGCAAUGUUCUGAAAACCGGACCAGACCGGCCGGUCCGAUCAGUUCAACCUCGAACCGGAGACAUAAACGGUUUGGUCUGAUGUCUAAAACCGGAAAUUAUAAAAGCGGAUGUGAACCGUUGAACCGGGCAGAAACCGGCCGGUUUGGAUAAAACAUCACAGUUUUGCGCUUUAUGGGGAGAAACAAAACGCGCUUCUCCAUCUCCUUCCUUAUUCCUUCGAGCAGAACACGCCCUGCCUCAACCCGGGAAAAACCCUAGCCGCCACCACCGCUGCAGGGAGGAGCCGUGUUUGCCGCCGUCCGUCGCAGUCAGGGGCUUGUCUCCUCGAGUGUUCGUGCGUCACAGUCAGGGGAGUUCUCCAAGUCUUCGACCUGUUCGCAGUCACCAGUCGCAGGCGCACCGCUUCUUCCUCCAGCUCGGCGGCCGUCGUGUUGUCGCCGUUGUUUGUCGCCAUCUGUUGCAGUCAGGGAUUUGUCUGAAAUGUUUGUUUUACGGUUUUAAAUGGCAAAGUGAUGCGAAAAGUGGGUGUGGAGGUUGUGGGGUUGGAAGCCCUAAGGUUCACUGGAUUCCUUAGAGAACAAUGCAACAGAAUAACAUGAGUUUUGAAUCAAUGUACAUUGUUCGAAUGCUGAAACAGGUCACUUGUUGCCAACUUAGCAGCUGCUAAUUGCUACAAGUCUGAGCAUUUGAAAAGACCAGAAAAUUGGGCAUUAGUUGAAAAAGCCAAGUAUUACUACAUUGCUGGCUUUUUCCUAACUUUAUCUCCAGAUUCCAUUCAAUUAGUUGUUGAACAUGCUGUUGCAAAUAACAAGGUCUUCACCAUGAACCUUUCAGCCCCCUUAACUUGGAAACAACACUAGAUCCCGUUUAUGGCUUGCUCGGCAAGAAGAAUCUGUUGCUAAGAGAGAUCGAUCUCUUACAACAGAUGAAUGCAACUCUGCCUAAGAUUAAACCGAAAAGGUCAUCUUGCAAGGUUCAGGUUUAUGUUCAGUUAGCAUAAUACCAUAGAAUGAUCAACAUUUUCUCACUGAACUAGCUCGACAUUCUUUUGAAAUUGAUAAUCCUUUAUCUCCUCACAUUUCUAACUUAGAAUCUAAGGUGUUAAGUGAUCCUAUUAACCCUCAAAGUCAAAAUUUAAUAUUUAGAUAUUUUUUUACUAUUUAACUUUUGAGUUUGUAUUUUGAUAAGAUCAUAUGAAUUUGGUUGAUGAUUUUUGUGUAGUGUUUUAAAUUUGGAAGAUAUUUUAGGAUGUUUAUUUAUUAUUUUAUUCUAAAACGAUUUUUUUGGUUGAACCACCGGUUGAAUCGGUUGGAUUAAUGAACCAAUAAACCAGUGACUAGAGCGGUUUGAUGAUCUGUCCGGUUUUCAAAACCUUGGUUAUUAGUUUAACGGUGGUCACUCGUUUACCU